GCUUAGUGGAUAUCCAGCAUUUAUUUUCACUGAAAAAUUAAUUUGGCCUUAGUAUCAUUAAAUAGGGAUAUGACAUCCUCAGAAACAAACAUUAACAAAAAACCUCACUUUUCUUCUUCUGGAAGUUAACAGCUAUACAGAGAAGUUUCAAUGAGGUAGAAUAUAAGCUCACAUAAGCAACUAUGGUUCAAUUUCUAAUUUAGAUACCUUAUUCCUAAAGAAGA
This 224-nucleotide long non-coding RNA is filed under the name Bos taurus (domestic cattle). RNAcentral describes it as "long non-coding RNA NONBTAT008118". The record is from RNAcentral. Lineage: Eukaryota; Metazoa; Chordata; Mammalia; Artiodactyla; Bovidae.